AGAGUUUGAUCCUGGCUCAGAUUGAACGCUGGCGGCAUGCCUUACACAUGCAAGUCGAACGGUAACAGCUCUUCGGAGGCUGACGAGUGGCGAACGGGUGAGUAAUACAUCGGAACGUGCCCGAUCGUGGGGGAUAACGGAGCGAAAGCUUUGCUAAUACCGCAUACGAUCUACGGAUGAAAGCAGGGGACCCUCGGGCCUUGCGCGAACGGAGCGGCCGAUGGCAGAUUAGGUAGUUGGUGGGAUAAAAGCUUACCAAGCCGACGAUCUGUAGCUGGUCUGAGAGGACGACCAGCCACACUGGGACUGAGAUACGGCCCAGACUCCUACGGGAGGCAGCAGUCGAGAGGCUUCGGCAAUGGGGGAAACCCUGACCGAGCGACGCCGCGUGAGGGAUGAAGCUCUUCGGGGUGUAAACCUCUUUUCUGGGGGAAGAAACCUAUGGGGUCGAAUAGGCCUCAUGGCUGACGGUACCCCAGGAAUAAGCUCCGGCUAACUCCGUGCCAGCAGCCGCGGUAAUACGGGGGGAGCAAACGUUGUUCGGAAUCACUGGGCGUAAAGGGCGCGUAGGCGGCCCGGUAAGUGGUGUGUGAAAUGCCCUGGCUCAACCAGGGAACUGCGCUCCAAACUGCCGGGCUUGAGGUCAGUAGAGGAAGCUGGAAUUCCAGGUGUAGCGGUGAAAUGCGUAGAUAUCUGGAGGAACACCGUUGGCGAAGGCGAGCUUCUGGGCUGUACCUGACGCUGAGGCGCGAAAGCUGGGGGAGCAAACAGGAUUAGAUACCCUGGUAGUCC
Molecule: ribosomal RNA, 792 nt
Filed under: uncultured bacterium
Lineage: Bacteria
Description: bacterial SSU rRNA
Rfam family: Bacterial small subunit ribosomal RNA
Source: RNAcentral